UGGUUUUGCCCAAUCAGCUUUGCGCGCCCGCACCCAAUCACCUGUGUCUCACCCCACUCCCACCCCAGCCGCCAAACGAACCCUAGCCAUCUUUCUCCUUCCCCUCGAUCCCCACGAGCUGCCGCACCCCUCCCUCGAUCCCUAGUUCCCCAUGAUCCUCUCCUAGCCCGUAGCCACCGGCCUUGUCUCUCCACUCGCCUCCUCCUUUCCUCUACCAUGUCGUCGUCGAUCCCACCGCCGGCCUUCUCCUCUGCUUGCCUCCUCCGGUCCUCUUCCAUGUCGCCGUCGAUCCAGAUCGGACCCUCUCCUUGCGCGCCCCGUGUUCCUCCUUCCAGCCGAUUGGGCAUAGCCGCACCAACCCUAGCCCCCGAUGCAGCCAUCCACUCCUCCCUCCUCCUCCCCCUCCCCUUCCCACAGCCGCCGCACCCGUCGCUUGCCCCCCUUGCGACGCCCGGGUCGGGGCUGGGAAGAAGGUCCGGGCCUGCGAGGGAAAGUAGCGAGGGUUGGUGCAGCGGCAAAUGCGGGCAGGAUUUGCGUGGAGGGAGGCUCGUCAGCCGGAACAACAGGAGCAAGGAGGUCGUGCAGGCGCGAAUGCUGGCGGGGUUGGCCAUGGAAGAAGGCUCGCUGGACGGAGCAUCAAGAGCAGGGAAUUCGAGGGCGUCAUGCACCACGAGGAGUAGAUCGAGCGUGGACCAUAGCAGCAGGAUCAAGGAGCUGCUGGUGGUUCUGGCAACAAGGAGGAUGAUCAAGAAGGAUUGGGGAACACCAGCAAAAAAAGUACUGGGGAAGACGGGCGGGACGAAGGCAUGGAGCUCGUUGUUUGGCGCCAACGUGCGUUUGGUGUUGAUUGCUGGCUGGCCGACUGCGGUGUGCUACUGGCGAUGAGAUCCAAGAGGAGGUGGCGGCGGACAGGGAGUCGAGGACCUUUUUGCUUGCAUUCUCGUGUCUUUUGGCAAGGAGAAAAUUAUCAUUUGGAGGGGAAAAGACAGGUGAAAACAUGCAAGAUAGUAUAUGCAAUUGACAUACCCUUCAGUUCUUGAAUCAGAGUCCAGUGGUGAAGAACACUACAAUUUUUUGGUUGAUGGAUUGGUCUGAAUAUAUUGUAAGGGAUUUUGCAUGAAGUGGUUAUUCAAAGAAUGGAACCAAUUUUAUGUGAAAAAUACUAUGAUUAAAGCAUACACGAUUUUACUGAAUGGAUAUGGUAUAACCUCCAUGAUAUUUGAAUGGUCCAGAAUCAAGACGCCCUGAGAAUUUUACCCUUCGAUGAACAAUGCAAGAUUUUGCCUAUUCUCUGAGAUGGAUGAUGAUGAGCGGUGCAACCGAAAAUUCAGAGCUGGGCUUUACACACUUCAGUGGGAGUAGCAUGACAACACCAAGGUAGAGACCUGAAGAGAAGCAAGGGGAUGGACCAAGGAAACUAGAACUGUGUUGUCGUGAUGUGGGUCGUGUCGUCUUCGUCCAUCUCCAUGGAGGCAUAUAUACAUAGGUUAGGUAUAGGAAAGGAGACCGUCUCCAUGGAACUCUGACUGAUGUGUAAUGUCCUCAUAGGACUGGACCGUUUACAGAGGGAGUACUUGAAAAUAAAUUCUUUAUAUAUUGUUUAGUUCCAUCAGCCGAAUAACCUAAAUUAGCAAUUAGGUAUCUAAACAGUGGAGUGUAACCAUUGUGCUUGCUGCAGUUUUACUUUAGUGUUGAAA
Long non-coding RNA from Triticum urartu, 1697 nucleotides. RefSeq lists it as uncharacterized. NCBI's taxonomy places the organism in Eukaryota, Viridiplantae, Streptophyta, Magnoliopsida, Poales, Poaceae. The record is from RefSeq and is a predicted model, not a curated record.